AGUGAACGCUGGCGGUAGGCCUAACACAUGCAAGUCGAACGGCAGCACAGUAAGAGCUUGCUCUUACGGGUGGCGAGUGGCGGACGGGUGAGGAAUACAUCGGAAUCUACUUUUUCGUGGGGGAUAACGUAGGGAAACUUACGCUAAUACCGCAUACGACCUACGGGUGAAAGCAGGGGAUCUUCGGACCUUGCGCGAUUGAAUGAGCCGAUGUCGGCUUAGCUAGUUGGCGGGGUAAAGGCCCACCAAGGCGACGAUCCGUAGCUGGUCUGAGAGGAUGAGCAGCCACACUGGAACUGAGACACGGUCCAGACUCCUACGGGAGGCAGCAGUGGGGAAUAUUGGACAAUGGGCGCAAGCCUGAUCCAGCCAUACCGCGUGGGUGAAGAAGGCCUUCGGGUUGUAAAGCCCUUUUGUUGGGAAAGAAAAGCAGCAGGUUAAUACCCCGCUGUUCUGACGGUACCCAAAGAAUAAGCACCGGCUAACUUCGUG
RNAcentral lists this ribosomal RNA (492 nucleotides) under uncultured bacterium. RNAcentral's name for it is "partial 16S ribosomal RNA". It matches the Rfam family "Bacterial small subunit ribosomal RNA", at positions 29 to 507 of the family's 1533-position model. The record is from RNAcentral.